RNAcentral lists this ribosomal RNA (90 nucleotides) under Coniochaeta ligniaria NRRL 30616. The record is from RNAcentral. Lineage: Eukaryota; Fungi; Ascomycota; Sordariomycetes; Coniochaetales; Coniochaetaceae.
ACGUACGACCAUAGAUACUGGAGAACUCGGGAUCCCGUCCGCUCUCCCAUAGAUAAGCCAGUAAUCGUCAGACCCCUGAUGUUGUACGUU